GCGCUCGUAGCUCAACUGGAUAGAGCAAAGGGUUUCUAACCCUUAGGUUGGUGGUUCGAGUCCCCCCGAGCGCA
This 74-nucleotide transfer RNA is filed under the name bacterium. RNAcentral describes it as "tRNA-Arg". It matches the Rfam family "tRNA". Rfam says of the family: Transfer RNA (tRNA) molecules are approximately 80 nucleotides in length. Their secondary structure includes four short double-helical elements and three loops (D, anti-codon, and T loops). The record is from RNAcentral.